UGCGGAGGAUCAUUAUUGAAAUAAACCUGAUGGGUUGUNGCUGGUUCUCUAGGGAGCAUGUGCACGCCUUGUCAUCUUUAUAUCUCCACCUGUGCACCUUUUGUAGACCUUUCAGGUCUAUGUUUGCUUCAUUUACCCCAAUGUAUGUUAAUAGAAUGUUGUGCCUAUAUAAUAUAUACAACUUUCAGCAACGGAUCUCUUGGCUCUCGCAUCGAUGAAGAACGCAGCGAAAUGCGAUAAGUAAUGUGAAUUGCAGAAUUCAGUGAAUCAUCGAAUCUUUGAACGCACCUUGCGCUCCUUGGUAUUCCGAGGAGCAUGCCUGUUUGAGUGUCAUUAAUAUCUAUAUCAACCCUCCUUCUCUUGUGUAGGAGUGGUUUGGAUUUGGGGGUUUGCUGGCCUCUUUAAAAGGUUCAGCUCCCCUGAAAUGCAUUAACAGAACAAUCCUUGUUCAUUGGCGUGAUAACUAUCUAUGCUAUUGAAUGUGA
This 485-nucleotide ribosomal RNA is filed under the name uncultured Cortinarius. Its description in RNAcentral is "eukaryotic LSU rRNA". The stretch from base 180 to 333 matches the Rfam family "5.8S ribosomal RNA". Lineage: Eukaryota; Fungi; Basidiomycota; Agaricomycetes; Agaricales; Cortinariaceae. The record is from RNAcentral.